UGUUUAACAAAGAGAAGCAAAGCCGCGAGGUAGAGCAAAUCUCAAAAAAACAUCUCAGUUCAGACUGCAGGCUGCAACUCGCCUGCACGAAGUCGGAAUUGCUAGUAAUCGUAGGUCAGCAUACUACGGUGAAUACGUUCCCGGGCCUUGUACACACCGCCCGUCAAACCAUGAGAGUUGGCAACACCCGAAGUCGGUAGUCUAACCGCAAGGAGGACGCCGCCGAAGGUGGGGUUGAUGAUUAGGGUUAAGUCGUAACAAGGUACC
RNAcentral lists this ribosomal RNA (267 nucleotides) under uncultured bacterium. RNAcentral's name for it is "partial 16S ribosomal RNA". It matches the Rfam family "Bacterial small subunit ribosomal RNA", at positions 1234 to 1500 of the family's 1533-position model. The record is from RNAcentral.